This 877-nucleotide long non-coding RNA is filed under the name Helianthus annuus (common sunflower). RNAcentral describes it as "hypothetical non coding rna". The record is from RNAcentral. Lineage: Eukaryota; Viridiplantae; Streptophyta; Magnoliopsida; Asterales; Asteraceae.
AUGAUUUUUACGCCGAUCUCAUACGUUGACAACACAAACGUUGACAACGUGGGUCUGGUUAGGAGUUUGAAGCUUUUGGUUGAACGCUCCUACUAGUAGCGUUGAAAGAGAUACAAGCUUUUAGGGAAAAAAUGACUAUUUUAAUAUACAAGCUUUUUAAAUUUUUCGUUAUGUCCAUUUUGGUCAUUUUAUACAUUUUAUUAAAAGCUUCAGCUACUCUGCCAAACACCAAAUAUAUCUAAAAAACUUAGGGCUGGCAAUUGGGUACCUAUUAAGACACGAUUAGACCUGUUUGACUGAAAAAUACACCUUUUAACUUUUUUAAUGUUUAAAAUAAUUAAAAUUACAAUGUUAGGAUCUAUCAUUUAUUCAUCUUUGUACAUAAAACAUAAAACUGUUUUAUAAACAUGAGGUAGAAAGUAGUUAAACGAGUCGUAAUCAUGUUUGAAACUUAUGUUGUGCGCGCCGUCAAAAACCUGUUAAACCUGUUAAGACACGAUUUGCCAGCCUUAAAAAAACUACAGCUACCAGCUUCUAGCCACCAACUACUUUUGCCAAACAUACCCAUAAUAAUCUUUGAUAGAUAAAAAUAAUAAAAGAUAUCUACAAAUCUAGAAUAAUAUCAGAAAUUACCUAAUAUUUGACCCUAAAAUGAAACAAUGUGUAAAUUUCACCAACCUUUAUUGUCUAAAAGCAACCGAUUCAAUUCAAACUAAUGUGAAUUAAAUAAUUUUGUUUAGUGUUAUUAGUUUACCAAAAUGGAUUGCCAACCAACUAUGGGUUGGAAUUGAAUGCAACCCUAUUGUUUUUUUCUGCCAUUGAAAGUGACCUCUCGGUUGGUAAUUUUAUGACCCUUUACACUCUUUCCAUCUAUGAA